This 385-nucleotide ribosomal RNA is filed under the name uncultured soil bacterium. RNAcentral's name for it is "bacterial SSU rRNA". It matches the Rfam family "Bacterial small subunit ribosomal RNA", at positions 26 to 411 of the family's 1533-position model. The record is from RNAcentral.
AGAUUGAACGCUGGCGGCAUGCCUUACACAUGCAAGUCGAACGGCAGCACGGGAGCAAUCCUGGUGGCGAGUGGCGAACGGGUGAGUAAUACAUCGGAACGUGCCCAAUCGUGGGGGAUAACGCAGCGAAAGCUGUGCUAAUACCGCAUAAGAUCUACGGAUGAAAGCAGGGGAUCGCAAGACCUUGCGCGAAUGGAGCGGCCGAUGGCAGAUUAGGUAGUUGGUGAGGUAAAGGCUCACCAAGCCUUCGAUCUGUAGCUGGUCUGAGAGGACGACCAGCCACACGUGGACUGAGACACGGCCCAGACCUCUACGGGAGGCAGCAGGUGGGGAAUUUUGGACAGUGGACGAAAGCUGAUCCAGCCAGUCGCCGCGUCGCGACGGA